This 355-nucleotide small RNA is filed under the name Vigna angularis var. angularis. Its description in RNAcentral is "Non-protein coding transcript". The record is from RNAcentral. Lineage: Eukaryota; Viridiplantae; Streptophyta; Magnoliopsida; Fabales; Fabaceae.
UCUUUCCCUUUUUCUCUCUAAACAGAAACCAUUUUUCCUAAAUAAUUGCUCUGCCUUCUCUCUAAAAGAUCCAAACGUUUAAAUUUUAAUUUGAAGGUGCCUAAACGAUCGCGGUGGCAAGAGCUUCAUUUUGAACCGAAUAGUUUCCUGUUCCGACCGGUUUUGUCAAGUUCCGCUCUGUGUGGAGGGUACUGUUAGGGCAUCUACUGUGAAUUGUAUUGAGCAACCCAAAAGAAGUUAAGGGGAGCUAAUUAUUUUUGGGUUGAAUCUGUUUUAUGUAUAUGUAUGCAUGUUAAUUUCGAAAAUGAUAUUUUUCCUACAGGGCGUUUCUGUUUUAUCAAAGAUUUGUGCAUCU